This 342-nucleotide ribosomal RNA is filed under the name uncultured bacterium. RNAcentral describes it as "partial 16S ribosomal RNA". It matches the Rfam family "Bacterial small subunit ribosomal RNA", at positions 338 to 697 of the family's 1533-position model. The record is from RNAcentral.
CCUACGGGGGGCAGCAGUAGGGAAUAUUGCUCAAUGGGGGAAACACUGAAGCAGCAACGCCGCGUGGAGGAUGAAGGUUCUCGGAUUGUAAACUCUUUUUGUUAGAGAAGAUAAUGACGGUACCUAACGAAUAAGCACCGGCUCACUCCGUGCCCGCAGCCGCGGUGAUACGGAGGGUGCAAGCGUUACUCGGAAUCACUGGGCGUAAAGAGCGUGUAGGCGGGAUAGCAAGUCAGAUGUGAAAUCCUAUGGCUUAACCAUAGAACUGCAUGUGAAACUGUUAAUCUACAGUAUGGGGGGGGUAGGUGGGAUUCUUGGUGUAGGGGGAGAAACGGAAGGGAU